UACUGGCCUCCGGUGAGCAAUAGUCGAACAACUGUUGUAAACUGUUUGGCAGCGGCGUUAUUUUAAACCUAAGUAUCCGUGUAAAAAUCAUAAAAUCUGUAAUUUGAGGAUUGAGAAUUUGAGAUCAUCAUCUAGAAAUGGAAGCAGUUACACUAAUAUAGAGACGAAACGCUUACAUAUAUAAUUGAUAUCUGCUGCGAUUGGAUGACUAGAAACUUGAGCGCUUUCCACGUACCAGGAUGAAUAUCUCGAGCAUAAUCGAAAGUCUUAACGACAUUACGGAAGACGCACCAGCAUGGAAAACCUCUCAACCAAAAUUUAGCGAUGAAGUGCGUUUUAUCAUGGAUAAGAGCGAUGACGACACUGACUUCAAUAAUUACUUUCCUUUUAAUCCCAUCGAAGUGACGUGCAGUCGGAAAAAGUUAUCGGCUGCAUCGCCAUACUUCCAGGCCAUGUUUGAGGCCAAGAAUUUCACAGAAUCGGCACAGACUGAGAUCAAACUGCAAGUCCCGCCGUAUUCCAGCGCUAGUGCCGUUGCUCGCCUUGUCAGAUAUUACAUGGAGACGCAGGAGCUGGUGCCACGAUAUCGCACUGGUUUAGACGAACCACUCAAUAAGAGCAAUGUGGUGUGCGUAUACGCUGCGGCGGAUUAUUACGGAAUGGAAGCUGUAGUCGCUAAAUGUAUUGUGUUUAUCUCGAAGUACGGAGUGACGGUCGCCAGAUUUUUACGCUUAAUUCAGUUCCAUGUGAAACAUCCGCGUACAGACGCGCAUGACAUUAUUACGCGGAUGAUCGGCAGUAUGUUUCCAGCUUUGACUAAAUGUCCAGGUUUUUGUGAACUGGACGCGGAAGAACUUCGUUUUUGUGCUGCAGCAGCCGUUCCUGAUUGUGACCUCCGAAAUGGACAUUUUCGAAGCGUUUCAUAUUUGGAUCGAACGCAAUCCAGAUACCGGUAUACAAGCUCUGCUGAUGCUACUCCAAGAAAUUCGAUGGUCGUCGCUAACAAUUCAGCAACGACAAUGGUGUCACGCUACGAUCCAAGAACUACUUCCGACGAGGAACACGCCACAAUCUACGAGUAUGAUCUGCGCUUACACACCGAGCGAUCCGAAUCCUGGCCGUACGACAUCAACCACGUGCUCCCCUCCGCCAGUUCCACACAGUCCAUCACCUGCAAUUUCAUUACCGGACUCACAGGGACAUAUGCGGUGGUCUAUUGCGACAAAGACGUAACGUGUCCAGUUGCGUUGCUCCAGCUGGAGCGCCGUACCGGUGCCGGUCCAUUCUUUCGGUUCUCCCGGGUUCUUGAUUGUGAAUGGAAAUGCUGCGCUGGAGAUGCGGCGACCUUAAGUCUGCAAGAGUACGAAUUUGAGUUUGAUGCUUUUGGUGGACAGACCCAAGUGGUGAUGCACAACCGGCACUACGGACUUUACACCAUUAAUACCGACUAUUUUGAAGUCCAUGAUGUGGGUACGCGGAACGACAGGCGGCGUUUGCCUCUACCACCCUUUGGUUUUGUGGACCGACGGCAUGGUUGCAUACGCGCUUCGCUUGAAACGUGUAGCGGAUACAUUUUCCUAUACACCGGGUGAAUUAACGCAUACAACGUAGUUGCUGCGUGUGGAUUUGUGUAGAUACAGUAUGCGUAACUUCUCGCAAAAUUUUUUUGGAUAUUAAUACGAUGCAAUUGCACAGCUGUGAGUGUAACGUGUAUGAUAUCGAUUCCCUGUGAAAAAGAGCUGGUAGAGUUUGCAUAUCAACACUAAUCGGUUGAUCAGGCCGUCACCUUAUCCGGAUCGUGCACCCACCACUUUGCGAAAUUCGACACUGCCACCAAGAAAUGGGAGGAGUAUGCACCACCUCAGCCAAGCCGUUGGGGUUGUAGCAUGAUUGAGUUGGAUGGUUUCCUGUACAUGAUAGGCGGUUAUAAUAUUGGUGAGGAAAUCGCAGACUCUGAAAUCCACUCGGAGAACGGCAGCGAAGAGGGGGAUCACCCUUCAGCAAAUUGCGAUCGCUUUAAUCUACAGCGUCUCUGCUGGGAAUCAGUUGCUUCGUUGCAGUGUCCCCGUUCGUAUCCCAGAGUAUGCGUGGUUGAUGGUCAGCUUGUAGCCGUAGGAGGAAAUAUCCCUCCCGACCUUUCUGUUAACCAUUUCAUGGAAUGCUACAAUGCAGUAAAGGAUCAAUGGACAAGUCCUGAAUUUGCCUGGCCAAGAGCGAAAUGCACUGGUCAGAAAGCCGGCUUUGACGACAUACAAGCAUUCGUUUUAGAAUCAACAUGUUUGUCUUUGUAAAAUGUUGUUAUUGUGGCGGUUUACCGGACCGAAAUCUGUCUGAAAGUAUCCGGCCAGGAUUCCAAAAUCGAAAUUCUGAAGUGCAGGAACUUGGUGCUUGUCCGACAAACAAUUUUGUUGGCGGGUUCAUUAUCGGUUUACCAAAAUUUAUUAGGUUAAGCUAUUCUACGCUUGUUGCGUUUCAAGUUAAUUAAUGCACCUAUAUACCGCGGUACAUACCAUACACCGCAGUGCAAAUCUGUAAUAAUAAAAG
Paramacrobiotus metropolitanus is the source of this 2544-nucleotide RNA transcript. RefSeq lists it as uncharacterized. The record is from RefSeq and is a predicted model, not a curated record. The transcript is spliced from 5 exons. NCBI's taxonomy places the organism in Eukaryota, Metazoa, Tardigrada, Eutardigrada, Parachela, Macrobiotidae.